RNAcentral lists this ribosomal RNA (254 nucleotides) under uncultured bacterium. Its description in RNAcentral is "partial 16S ribosomal RNA". It matches the Rfam family "Bacterial small subunit ribosomal RNA", at positions 524 to 776 of the family's 1533-position model. The record is from RNAcentral.
UACAGAGGUCCCAAGCGUUUGUUCGGAUUCAUUGGGCGUAAAGGGUGCGUAGGUGGCGCUGUAAGUCGGGUGUGAAAUUUCGGAGCUUAACUCCGAAACUGCAUUCGAUACUGCGGUGCUUGAGGACUGGAGAGGAGACUGGAAUUCAUGGUGUAGCAGUGAAAUGCGUAGAGAUCAUGAGGAAGACCAGUGGCGAAGGCGGGUCUCUGGACAGUUCCUGACACUGAGGCACGAAGGCCAGGGGAGCAAACGGG